UACAGAGGUCUCAAGCGUUGUUCGGAUUCAUUGGGCGUAAAGGGUGCGUAGGUGGCGCUGUAAGUCAGGUGUGAAAUUUCGGAGCUUAACUCCGAAACUGCAUUUGAUACUGCGGUGCUUGAGGACUGGAGAGGAGACUGGAAUUUACGGUGUAGCAGUGAAAUGCGUAGAGAUCGUAAGGAAGACCAGUGGCGAAGGCGGGUCUCUGGACAGUACCUGACACUGAGGCACUAAGGCCAGGGGAGCAAACGGG
RNAcentral lists this ribosomal RNA (253 nucleotides) under uncultured bacterium. RNAcentral's name for it is "partial 16S ribosomal RNA". It matches the Rfam family "Bacterial small subunit ribosomal RNA", at positions 524 to 776 of the family's 1533-position model. The record is from RNAcentral.